AAGGUAAGCAUUACAAGCGCCAUGAGACUUAGAUUAAUCGAUUUUUAUAUUUUAUUCUGUAGUAUAUAGUCUAUGUAAAACAAUAAUAGCUGUGGCAAGUAAAGGAGGAUGUCCAGAGAAUGUCCUUUGCAUUAUUUACUAAUAACCUCUGCUGUAAACUUAACUGGUCUGGUAUUACCAUAAAUGACAAUGAAAGUAACUUUGUAAAACAAAGACUUACACUUGCUUAAAAGAGCUGUAAAAAGAAAUCCUGCAACAACUUCAGCAACUGAAUCAGAUUUUCAAUAUGAGGUUGUGCGUUUUUUGCGUGGUGCAUGAGACCAC
Molecule: non-coding RNA, 324 nt
Organism: Hydra vulgaris (swiftwater hydra)
Lineage: Eukaryota; Metazoa; Cnidaria; Hydrozoa; Anthoathecata; Hydridae
Source: RefSeq, a predicted model, not a curated record